AAAAAGGUAAGUUAAAAAAACUAUUGGAUUCAUGCUCCAAAAUUAUAUGAAGAUAUCUUUUUUU
RNAcentral lists this transfer RNA (64 nucleotides) under Paratetraonchoides inermis. RNAcentral's name for it is "tRNA-Met". The record is from RNAcentral. Lineage: Eukaryota; Metazoa; Platyhelminthes; Monogenea; Dactylogyridea; Tetraonchoididae.